CCUACGGGAGGCAGCAGUGGGGAAUAUUGGGCAAUGGGCGCAAGCCUGACCCAGCAACGCCGCGUGAAGGAAGAAGGCUUUCGGGUUGUAAACUUCUUUUCUGAGGGACGAAGAAAGCGACGGUACCUCAGUAAUAAGCCACCGCUAACUACGUGCCAGCAGCCGCGUUAAUACGUAGGUCGCAGGCGUUAUCCGGAUUUAUUGGGUGUAAAGGGCGUGUAGGCGGGAAAGCAAGUCAGAUGUGAAAACUCAGGGCUCAACCCUUAGCCUGCGUUUGAAACUGUUUUUCGUGAGUGCUGGAGAGGCAAUCGGAAUUCCGUGUGUAGCGGUGAAAUGCGUAGAUAUACGGAGGAACACCAGUGGCGAAGGCGGAUUGCUGGACAGUAACUGACGCUGAGGCGCGAAAGCGUGGGGAGCAAACAGGAUUAGAUACCCUUGUAGUC
RNAcentral lists this ribosomal RNA (443 nucleotides) under uncultured bacterium. RNAcentral describes it as "partial 16S ribosomal RNA". It matches the Rfam family "Bacterial small subunit ribosomal RNA", at positions 338 to 795 of the family's 1533-position model. The record is from RNAcentral.